UAAUAAGUGUUUUAUGGCACUUUUUAAAUCCAUAUCCACCUUGUGUGGCAAUGUCAGUCGAUCUUCUUCAUGGAGAUCGACCAAACAUCAACCUAUUUUUUUUAACUCUUUGACUCUGAAAAAUAUUAUGAAUAAACAAUUCAAAUA
This 147-nucleotide unclassified non-coding RNA is filed under the name soil metagenome. RNAcentral's name for it is "partial internal transcribed spacer 1". The record is from RNAcentral.